This 538-nucleotide ribosomal RNA is filed under the name Pichia pseudolambica. Its description in RNAcentral is "[Candida] pseudolambica partial large subunit ribosomal RNA". It matches the Rfam family "Eukaryotic large subunit ribosomal RNA", at positions 104 to 664 of the family's 3401-position model. Lineage: Eukaryota; Fungi; Ascomycota; Pichiomycetes; Pichiales; Pichiaceae. The record is from RNAcentral.
AGAGCUCAGAUUUGGAAUCGUGUUUCGGCACGAGUUGUAAAUUGCAGGUUGGAGUCUUUGUGGAAGCGUGUGUCCAAGUCCCUUGGAACAGGGCGCCAUUGAGGGUGAGAGCCCCGUGGGAUGCGCGCGGAAGCAACAAGGCCCUUCUGACGAGUCGAGUUGUUUGGGAAUGCAGCUCUAAGCGGGUGGUAAAUUCCAUCUAAGGCUAAAUACUGGCGAGAGACCGAUAGCGAACAAGUACUGUGAAGGAAAGAUGAAAAGCACUUUGAAAAGAGAGUGAAACAGCACGUGAAAUUGUUGAAAGGGAAGGGUAUUGGGCCCGACAUGGGGAUUGCGCAUCUCUGCUCCUUGUGGGCGGGGCGCUGUGCUUUUCCUGGGCCAGCAUCGGUUUUUGCCGCAGGAGAAGGGGUACUGGAAUGUGGCUCCUCGGAGUGUUAUAGCCAGUGCCAGAUGCUGCGUGCGGGGACCGAGGGCUGCGACAUCUGUCUCGGAUGCUGGCACAACGGCGCAAUACCGCCCGUCUUGAACCACGGGACCA